Long non-coding RNA from Ruditapes philippinarum (Manila clam), 2042 nucleotides. RefSeq lists it as uncharacterized. The transcript is spliced from 2 exons. Lineage: Eukaryota; Metazoa; Mollusca; Bivalvia; Venerida; Veneridae. The record is from RefSeq and is a predicted model, not a curated record.
UGGUUAAUUUUGAAUUUUAUCCAGGGAGACAUGAGAAUUAUGCAUAAUAUUUAUACACAUUUAAAGUUAAACCAUGCAUAAUAUAUUGAUUUCCUAUUGGAGUGAAAAAAAUGAGUACAUGUACAUAAAUAAUGUUCGGAAGUAUAAAAAUGAACUAGGUACAAAUAUUGCUCUGUCAGAUGUAGUUGUACUUGGUUUUUAUCACAUAUCACUUAUCAAUAUGAAAUCAUCCAUUUUAUAUAUGCCAAUUUUGGAUGGGAAUUUUGACAGUAAUUUUGGGACUUUAAAAAUAAAACAUUUGAAAAUUUGCUGUCUUUUUUUAUUGGGAACGUAAAUAGUUUUAUAAGGGAAAAAUGCUGUUCUAUUACAAAUAGAAUAGAUAAUAGUUACAAAUACUACAAAUAAUAUAUCAGGGAUUGAAAAACGAAAAACAACAACAACAACAAUGCUUAAAAAAUAUAAAUUUCCUACAUGUUCUGACUCAUUUUUCUUUUUUGAAGACAAUUUUUCUUUUUUGAAGACACUGUUUAACUAACUUCUUUCUGGCUAAACAUUUGCCGAAUAUUGCAUUGUUACAUUUUAAAAAAAUUUUGUGGAACAUACUGGAAUCGCCGCACGGGCUUUUAGUAAGUUUUUACAAAAUAGAAUCGGACAGAAUUAAGCGUUGCAUUCAACAAAUCAACAUCAGUUUUGCUCAUCAAACACACGGGAAUUAUUUUGUGCUCUGUCUUACUAGUAAAACUUGAAAAAUGGUUUCAAAAGAAUUGAAUUGAAAUUUGAUUAAUUUAUGCUAGAAAUUUCACAUGUCCUGCAGGACGGGCAUUUUUGGGAGAUUAACUUGUCCAGAGUCAUUUUUACUCGUAUUUAUCAUUUAUGAGCGGACAAGUGGAUUUGUCGAGCCUUGAUUAACUGCAAGUGAUUAACCACAUUAUUUCCAUAAAACUUAUACUACAUGUAAUUACAUUGUUUGAGAUAAUAAAUCAUUUGACUUACUAGUGAAAUAAGUUUAAGACUGCAUAAUAUUGAUAUAAAAGUGAAUUCAGUUAGUGUGUUCCAAACUACAGGUGGAAACUGUUCUAUUUUCUAUUCAAGUUUUUUUUUGAUGAAACAAAACUUAAUCCUGACAACAGUUAUAUAUGCUUAACAGUGUUGUAUUUUGAUUAUUUUAAAAUCUGUUGAAAAUAUUUAUAUUAAAUUCAUGAAAAGAAGUUUAAAAAAAAGAGAAAGAAAUGAGAUUUGGGCAUAAUUUUUAAGAAGGUAAAGAUACUUCAAUGAAAAAGUAAGAUAGGUAACAAAAAUCAAUCAAACGAAAAACACAUUUAAAUUUCAAGUUGUUCCUGACAUAUCUAAGUUGUUCCUGACAUGUCAGAACAAAAUUAAUAAUUUUUUUUUUGAAAUCUGGUAACCUUGAGCUAUGUUCUCUACCGAUUGAGCUAUGAUUCCGACAAUUAUUACUCACUUUUACAAUUGUUAGUCAAUCAUAUCUGGACAUGCAACAUUCAACUUACCCAUAUAUAUGCCUUUAAAAAGGACUGUUUUGACUAUAAAUACUUGAAAUUAUAAAGAAAUUGCCCUAUUAUUCUUUACAGUCUAUUGUGUAUAGGCUAAAUUUAGGAGACACUUGUGAAAAUACGCAAUGAAAAAUGAAUAAUUACAUUGAAAAUACAGGAAAUGAAAAUGAGCAUUUUACUUUAUCAAUAUUUCUUAAUGUUUCAAUGAAGUAUGUAAUAAAUUAAAAGAACUAUUGUAUUGAUUAGGAAAAGUUUUUAUUUCAGGUUUGUGAAUAAAGGCUUGUUUGUUAGAUUUCAAUUGUGGCUCAGUUGGUUGUUUGCUGAGAAGCUGUGAAACAUAAUUAUACAGGCCAUUAAGGAGGUUUUUGUCAGAUUGAUGAAUGUGAAAUUAAGAGGACCCAUUUUGAGAAUGCUUUUUAUGAAUGGAAUCAAGAGAGAUAAAGUCUAAAAUGUGAUACUGUCAAUGUGACUAACCUUGAAGUAAACAGAUGACACAAUGUUUUUUCAAUGUCAUGGGCAUAUAAUGAAGAG